Molecule: small RNA, 291 nt
Filed under: Pongo abelii (Sumatran orangutan)
Lineage: Eukaryota; Metazoa; Chordata; Mammalia; Primates; Hominidae
Description: retained intron
Source: RNAcentral
UUAGUUACAGAGUGAUUAUACAGAAGAUGCAACAGAUACUAAACCUGAUAGGGACAUCGAGUUAGAGCUUUCAGCACUUGAUACUGAUGAACCUGAUGGACAAAGUGAACCAAUUGAAGAGAUCCUGGACAUACAGCUUGGUAUCAGUUCUCAAAAUGAUCAGUUGCUAAAUGGAACGGCAGUGGAAAAUGGGCAUCCAGUACAGCAGCACCAAAAGGAGCCACCAAAGCAGAAGAAACAGAGUUUAGGUGAAGACCAUGUGAUUCUGGAGGAGCAAAAAACAAUUCUGCC